GAUGAACGCUGGCGGCGUGCUUAACACAUGCAAGUCGAACGAAGCACUUUAUUUGAUUUCCUUCGGGACUGAUUAUUUUGUGACUGAGUGGCGGACGGGUGAGUAACGCGUGGGUAACCUGCCUUGUACAGGGGGAUAACAGUUGGAAACGGCUGCUAAUACCGCAUAAGCGCACAGCAUCGCAUGAUGCAGUGUGAAAAACUCCGGUGGUAUAAGAUGGACCCGCGUUGGAUUAGCUAGUUGGUGAGGUAACGGCCCACCAAGGCAACGAUCCAUAGCCGACCUGAGAGGGUGACCGGCCACAUUGGGACUGAGACACGGCCCAAACUCCUACGGGAGGCAGCAGUGGGGAAUAUUGCACAAUGGGCGAAAGCCUGAUGCAGCGACGCCGCGUGAGCGAAGAAGUAUUUCGGUAUGUAAAGCUCUAUCAGCAGGGAAGAUAAUGACGGUACCUAACAAGAAAGCACCGGCUAACUACGUGCCAGCAGCCGCGGUAAAACGUAGGGUGCAAGCGUUGUCCGGAAUUACUGGGUGUAAAGGGAGCGCAGGCGGACCGGCAAGUUGGAAGUGAAAACUAUGGGCUCAACCCAUAAAUUGCUUUCAAAACUGCUGGCCUUGAGUAGUGCAGAGGUAGGUGGAAUUCCCGGUGUAGCGGUGGAAUGCGUAGAUAUCGGGAGGAACACCAGUGGCGAAGGCGACCUACUGGGCACCAACUGACGCUGAGGCUCGAAAGCAUGGGUAGCAAACAGGAUUAGAUACCCUGGUAGUCCAUGCCGUAAACGAUGAUUACUAGGUGUUGGAGGAUUGACCCCUUCAGUGCCGCAGUUAACACAAUAAGUAAUCCACCUGGGGAGUACGACCGCAAGGUUGAAACUCAAAGGAAUUGACGGGGGCCCGCACAAGCAGUGGAGUAUGUGGUUUAAUUCGAAGCAACGCGAAGAACCUUACCAGGUCUUGACAUCCGAUGCAUAGUGCAGAGAUGCAUGAAGUCCUUCGGGACAUCGAGACAGGUGGUGCAUGGUUGUCGUCAGCUCGUGUCGUGAGAUGUUGGGUUAAGUCCCGCAACGAGCGCAACCCUUAUUGCCAGUUACUACGUAAGAGGACUCUGGCGAGACUGCCGUUGACAAAACGGAGGAAGGUGGGGAUGACGUCAAAUCAUCAUGCCCUUUAUGACCUGGGCUACACACGUACUACAAUGGCGUUUAACAAAGAGAAGCAAGACCGCGAGGUGGAGCAAAACUCAAAAACAACGUCUCAGUUCAGAUUGCAGGCUGCAACUCGCCUGCAUGAAGUCGGAAUUGCUAGUAAUCGCGGAUCAGCAUGCCGCGGUGAAUACGUUCCCGGGCCU
This 1348-nucleotide ribosomal RNA is filed under the name uncultured bacterium. Its description in RNAcentral is "bacterial SSU rRNA". It matches the Rfam family "Bacterial small subunit ribosomal RNA", at positions 28 to 1381 of the family's 1533-position model. The record is from RNAcentral.